This 253-nucleotide ribosomal RNA is filed under the name uncultured prokaryote. RNAcentral's name for it is "partial 16S ribosomal RNA". It matches the Rfam family "Bacterial small subunit ribosomal RNA", at positions 525 to 777 of the family's 1533-position model. The record is from RNAcentral.
ACGUAGGUGGCAAGCGUUGUCCGGAUUUAUUGGGUUUAAAGGGUGCGUAGGUGGUCUAUUAAGUCAGUGCUGAAAUAUCCCGGCUUAACCGGGAGGGUGGCAUUGAUACUGAUGGACUUGAGUGGAGUUGAGGUAGGCGGAAUUGACGGUGUAGCGGUGAAAUGCUUAGAUAUCGUCAAGAACACCGAUAGCGAAGGCAGCUUACCAAGCUCUAACUGACACUGAUGCACGAAAGUGUGGGGAUCAAACAGGA